RNAcentral lists this ribosomal RNA (744 nucleotides) under Catenulostroma protearum. RNAcentral describes it as "eukaryotic LSU rRNA". It matches the Rfam family "Eukaryotic large subunit ribosomal RNA", at positions 95 to 871 of the family's 3401-position model. Lineage: Eukaryota; Fungi; Ascomycota; Dothideomycetes; Mycosphaerellales; Teratosphaeriaceae. The record is from RNAcentral.
GAAGCGGCAACAGCUCAAAUUUGAAAUCUGGCGCAAGCCCGAGUUGUAAUUUGCAGAGGAUGCUUCUGGGCAGCGGCCGGUCUAAGUUCCUUGGAACAGGACGUCAUAGAGGGUGAGAAUCCCGUAUGCGACCGGUUGGCACCCGUCACGUAGCUCCUUCGACGAGUCGAGUUGUUUGGGAAUGCAGCUCUAAAUGGGUGGUAAAUGUCAUCUAAAGCUAAAUACCGGCCAGAGACCGAUAGCGCACAAGUAGAGUGAUCGAAAGAUGAAAAGUACUUUGGAAAGAGAGUUAAAAAGCACGUGAAAUUGUUGAAAGGGAAGCGCAUGCAACCAGACUUGUCCGCGGUGUUCCGCCGGUCUUCUGACCGGUCUACUCGCCGCGGGCAGGCCAGCAUCGUCUGGGCGCGCCGGAAAAAGGCGCAGGGAAUGUAGCCCCUCGGGGUGUUAUAGCUCUGCGCACAAUACGGCGCCGCCCGGGCGAGGUCCGCGCUUCGGCUAGGAUGCUGGCGUAAUGGUUGUCUGCGGCCCGUCUUGAAACACGGACCAAGGAGUCUAACAUCUAUGCGAGUGUUCGGGUGUCAAACCCCUACGCGGAAUGAAAGUGAACGGAGGUGGGAGCCCUCGGGCGCACCAUCGACCGAUCCUGAUGUCUUCGGAUGGAUUUGAGUAAGAGCAUAGCUGUUGGGACCCGAAAGAUGGUGAACUAUGCCUGAAUAGGGUGAAGCCAGAGGAAACUCUGGUGGA